GGAGGGAGGGAAGGGAAGGGGGGGCGGCUCAGGCCGCGCUGCUCAUGAGCCGGCGGCGGCGGGGGGUCGCGGUCGCCCUCGCCGGGGGUAGCGGAGCCGUUCGCGGCGGCGGCUCGGGGGCGAUGCCGGCGGAUUUUCCUCACUGGAGUAGCGGAGCAUCAAACAUGGCGCUGCGGCCGCCUCCAGCUGUCCGGCCGGGCGGGCGCUCGGGCGCCUUCGGGCCGCUCCGGAGCCGCUCGGCCCAGAGCCGAUCGGCGACCUUCGGCUCUUUCCGGAGUCGCUCGGCCCACCGCUGAUCGGCAACCUUCGGCUCUUUCCGGAGUCUCUCGUCAGGCAGGACCGCUCGGCAAACCUCGGGUUCUUCCGGAGAGGGUUUCGCGGGCGCAAGCGCCCUGCCCUGCUCCCCCUCCCUCCCCGCUCAGCCCAGCACCUCCCGUGACCCCCGCGCUCGGUAAAUUUCGGCUCUUUCCGGAAGACGACGCGUGACGCAGUUCGGGAAGCUUCGGAGGGGCUCGGAAGAGGGAUUCCCGCCCCGCUCGUAGUUCUUCGGAGCUUCUCAGCAAUCCUCGGAGUCCCUCGGGAUCGCCCUGGAUGCGAUCGGGGACAUUCGAUUCGGCUCGGAGAGACUUCGGCAGCGCUUGGCGCUGAGGGAUUGGCCUGAGGUUCUCAGGGGACCCUGGAAUCCCUCAGCACCCACCCCACUGAGGGCUUCCCCUGCCCGAAAACUCACCUCCAGCCCCAGUUCCUGGCUUCUGGAGGGGCUGGAAGGGCCAGCACCGCAGCCUCCCCUGAGGCAUCGUAAGGGAGAGCAGCUCUGAAUGCAACGUAUCCCUCCUCACGGCCACCGUCUGAGCUUGGCAGCAGCCAAGGUGGUUUGUACCAUCUCAGAGAGAUAAAAAGCACCUCAGAACAGAUUCCAGCAGCUGCCAGAUUGUCCUGACUUGUCCUGCCCUGCCAGUGGCUGCCGAGGGCUCAUUCCAACCUGCUGGCACCUUCCAACAUUCCUGCCGCACUGCACGUCCCAGGGAGAUGCUCCCAGCACCUUUGCUGUGUUUUGUGAAUGCAGGUAUUCCACCACAAUUCAAACACGUGGGGCCACAUCCAGACCGAAACAGGACUCUGGUAACAUCGCUGGCUCCUGCCAGCCAAGCACUGGAGUGUGCAGGCAGCGAUUUUCUCAGCUCCACCGCCCUCUGCGGGUUUGCACCAUUUCCAGGCAGACCUCUGGAAAACAACGGCCACAGCCACUCUCCAGCACUGCAGGAAGCCGAGGGCCUCACACUGAGUCGUGCCAGCAGAAAGUGAGUGCUAUUACUACAUUUUGGUUCCAUCUGGGUGAGAAAACACGGUAAAAACAGUCAGUGGGGUAUUUUAAUGUCUUAUUUAUGCAACAUCCGUGUCCCCAGCUCACUGCUGGCUCAGUCCUGCCCCUGCCAGCAGCAGAAACGCUCUGUAUUCCCAAAAGUUUGCUAUCAGUGGGCUGCAGCCCCCUAGUUUUGCCCCAAAUCCAGCCCCCAAUAACAAUUCCAAGGCUAAAUAGCAAAGGAGUACAAAGCACUUGACAUGGUUAAUGGCCAUCAGCCCUGCCAGGUGCUGGGGUGAGGCUUGCAGGGAGCCUGCAGUCCAGGUCCUACCUUGCAUUUUCUGGGCAAGCCUGAUGCAGCCAUGGAGCAUCUGCUUGAAGAGCACGUUGGCCUGUGUUAUGGAGCUGGCAGCACCCCCCCUGCAUCACCAAGCCAUAGAAAAGGGAGUUUGAAGAGAAACCUGUGGUGGGGCUUGUGCCACUGGAUCCAACCACAGCCCAGCUGGCUAAAAACUCACCCAGGAGGAAGGAAAAGCAUAGAGGAAAGAUCUCCCUGCCAGGGAGCUGUGUGGGGUCAUGCCAUAGAGAUGGAAAGCAAAGAGCCACCUGCAGUGAGAGUAAGGUUUUAGGGUAAAAAACCCUGGAUUUAGCCUCCAAGAGAGGC
Poecile atricapillus (Black-capped chickadee) is the source of this 1967-nucleotide long non-coding RNA. RefSeq lists it as uncharacterized. The record is from RefSeq and is a predicted model, not a curated record. NCBI's taxonomy places the organism in Eukaryota, Metazoa, Chordata, Aves, Passeriformes, Paridae. The transcript has 3 exons.